CCUACGGGUGGCAGCAGUGGGGAAUAUUGGACAAUGGGGGGAACCCUGAUCCAGCCAUGCCGCGUGUGUGAAGAAGGCCCUCGGGUUGUAAAGCACUUUCAGUGAGGAAGAACGCCUGGUGGUUAAUACCCAUCAGGAAAGACAUCACUCACAGAAGAAGCACCGGCUAACUCCGUGCCAGCAGCCGCGGUAAUACGGAGGGUGCGAGCGUUAAUCGGAAUUACUGGGCGUAAAGCGCGCGUAGGUGGCUUGAUAAGCCGGUUGUGAAAGCCCCGGGCUCAACCUGGGAACGGCAUCCGGAACUGUCAAGCUAGAGUGCAGGAGAGGAAGGUAGAAUUCCCGGUGUAGCGGUGAAAGGCGUAGAGAUCGGGAGGAAUACCAGUGGCGAAGGCGGCCUUCUGGACUGACACUGACACUGAGGUGCGAAAGCGUGGGUAGCAAACAGGAUUAGAUACCCUUGUAGUC
RNAcentral lists this ribosomal RNA (465 nucleotides) under Vreelandella stevensii. Its description in RNAcentral is "partial 16S ribosomal RNA". It matches the Rfam family "Bacterial small subunit ribosomal RNA", at positions 338 to 795 of the family's 1533-position model. The record is from RNAcentral. Lineage: Bacteria; Pseudomonadati; Pseudomonadota; Gammaproteobacteria; Oceanospirillales; Halomonadaceae.